RNAcentral lists this ribosomal RNA (500 nucleotides) under uncultured bacterium. RNAcentral's name for it is "partial 16S ribosomal RNA". It matches the Rfam family "Bacterial small subunit ribosomal RNA", at positions 899 to 1397 of the family's 1533-position model. The record is from RNAcentral.
ACUCAAAGGAAUAGACGGGGGCCCGCACAAGCGGUGGAGCAUGUGGUUCAAUUCGACGCAACGCGAAGAACCUUACCUGGGUUUGAACUGCCGACGAAUGUCCCAGAGACGGGACCGACUCGCAAGAGACGUCGGUAGAGGUGCUGCAUGGCUGUCGUCAGCUCGUGUCGUGAGAUGUUGGGUUAAGUCCCGCAACGAGCGCAACCCUCGCCUGUAGUUGCCAACGGGUCAUGCCGGGAACUCUACAGGGACUGCCCCGGAAAACGGGGAGGAAGGUGGGGAUGACGUCAAGUCCUCAUGGCCUUUAUGUCCAGGGCUACACACGUGCUACAAUGGCCGGUACAAAGGGAUGCAAGACCGCGAGGUGGAGCGAAUCCCAAAAAGCUGGUCUCAGUUCGGAUUGUAGUCUGCAACUCGACUACAUGAAGUCGGAAUCGCUAGUAAUGGCGGAUCAGCACGCCGCCGUGAAUACGUUCCCGGGCCUUGUACACACCGCCCGU